AAACUAACAAGGAUUCCCCUAGUAACUGCGAGUGAAGCGGGAAAAGCUCAAAUUUAAAAUCUGGCAGCUUUGCUGUCCGAGUUGUAGUCUAGAGAAGUGCUAUCCGUGCUGGCCUGUGUACAAGUCCCUUUGAACAGGGCAUCAUAGAGGGUGAUAAUCCCGUCUCUGACACAGACUCCCAGGACUUUUGUGAUGCGCUCUCAAUGAGUCGAGUUGUUUGGGAAUGCAGCUCUAAAUGGGUGGUAAAUUCCAUCUAAAGCUAAAUAUAGGCGAGAGACCGAUAGCGAACAAGUACCGUGAGGGAAAGAUGAAAAGAACUUUGGAAAGAGAGUUAAACAGUACGUGAAAUUGCUAAAAGGGAAACGCUUGAAGUCAGUCAUGUUGGCUGGGGAUCAACCUUGCUUUUGCUGGGUGUAUUUCCUGGUUUACAGGUCAGCAUCAGUUUUGAUCACCAUACAAAGACUCAGAGAAUGUGGCAUCUCCGGAUGUGUUAUAGCUUUGGGAUCACAUGUGGUGGUUGGGACUGAGGAAUGCAGCACACCUUUAUGGUCGGGGUUCGCCCACGCUUGUGCUUAGGAUGCUGACAAAAUGGCUUUAAUCGACCCGUCUUGAAACACGGACCAAGGAGUCUAACAUGCCUGCGAGUGUUUGGGUGGAAAACCCAUGCGCGUAAUGAAAGUAAAAGUUGAAAUCCCUGUCGUGGAGAGCAUCGACGCCCGGACCAGACCUUUUGUGACGGAUCUGCGGUUGAGCAUGUAUGUUGGGACCCGAAAGAUGGUGAACUAUGCCUGAAUAGGAUGAAGCCAGAAGAAACUCUGGUGGAGGUCCGUAGCGAUUCUGACGAGCAAAUCGAUAAUCAAAUUUNNNUAUAGGGGCGAAAGACNNNNNNNNNNNNNNNNNNNNNNNNNNNNNNN
RNAcentral lists this ribosomal RNA (914 nucleotides) under Mucronella calva. Its description in RNAcentral is "partial 25S ribosomal RNA". It matches the Rfam family "Eukaryotic large subunit ribosomal RNA", at positions 62 to 930 of the family's 3401-position model. Lineage: Eukaryota; Fungi; Basidiomycota; Agaricomycetes; Agaricales. The record is from RNAcentral.